Rhopalosiphum padi (bird cherry-oat aphid) is the source of this 3516-nucleotide long non-coding RNA. RefSeq lists it as uncharacterized. Lineage: Eukaryota; Metazoa; Arthropoda; Insecta; Hemiptera; Aphididae. The record is from RefSeq and is a predicted model, not a curated record. The transcript has 15 exons.
GGCUGGAUCAUGGACUACACACCGACGGAGAAUUUGUCAUUGAGCUGAAGGAAAAUGUGUUGGCACUCGGCUUCGUUUCAACCCGGAGGAAGAUUGGCAGCAUCAUUAGACGUUCAUCUUAAUGUCAAUUGUCGAAAUAAAGAAGAAUUUGUCACAAAGCUGAUGGAAAAUGUGUCGUCACUCGGCUUCGUUUCAACCAGGAGGAAGAUUAGCAGCAUCAAUAGACGUUCAUCUUAAUGUCAACUGUUGAAACGAUUUGUUUGCAUUCUAAUAUAAGUUUAAAAUACAUUUAAUCUGCAUAUUAUUUGAAGUUUAAUAGGAACGGAAUAUUUAACUGGAUCAUGGACGACUAUCCACCGACGAAGAAUUUGUCAUAGAGCUGAUGGAAAAUGUGUCGGCACUCGGCUGUAUUUCAACACGGAGGACGUCUAGCAGCAGCAAAAAGAAAUUCAACUGACGAUAAUCUACUGUCGAAAUAAAGAAGAAUUUGUCACAAAGCUGAUGGGAAAUGUGUCGUCACUCGGCUUCGUUUCAACCAGGAGGAAUAUUAGCAGCAUCAAUAGACGUUCAUCUUAAUGUCAACUGUUGAAAGGAUUUGUUUGCAUUCUAAUAUAAGUUUAAAAUACAUUUAAUCUGCAUAUUAUUUGAAGUUUAAUAGGAACGGAAUAUUUAACUGGAUCAUGGACGACUAUCCGCCGACGAAGAAUUUGUCAUAGAGCUGAUGGAAAAUGUGUCGGCACUCGGCUGUAUUUCAACACGCAGGACGUCUGGCAGCAGCAAAAAGAAAUUCAACUGACGAUAAUCUACUGUCGAAAUGAAGAAGAAUUUGUCAUUGAGCUGAUGGAAAAUGUGUCAUCACUCGGCUUCGUUUCAACCAGGAGGAAGAUUAGCAGCAUCAAUAGACGUUCAUCUUAAUGUCAACUGUUGAAACGAUUUGUUUGCAUUCUAAUAUAAGUUUAAAAUACAUUUAAUCUGUAUAUUAUUUGAAGUUUAAUAGGAACGGAAUAUUUAACUGGAUCAUGGACGACUAUCCACCGACGAAGUAUUUGUCAUAGAGCUGAUGGAAAAUGUGUCGGCACUCGGCUGUAUUUCAACACGGAGGACGUCUAGCAGCAGCAAAAAGAAAUUCAACUGACGAUAAUCUACUGUCGAAAGUAUUUGUUGUGAAGAAGAAUUUGUCACAAAGCUGAUGGGAAAUGUGUCGGCACUCGGCUUCGUUUCAACCCGGAGGAAGAUUAGCAGCCUCAAUAAGAAGCACAUCUUAAUAUCAACUGUCCAAAGGAUUUGUUUUGAAGAAGAAUUUGUCACAAAGCUGAUGGGAAAUGUGUCGGCACUCGGCUUCGUUUCAACCCGGAGGAAGAUUUGCAGCAUCAAAAAGAAAUUCAACUGACGAUAAUCUACUGUCGAAACUAUUUUGAAGAAGAAUUUGUCACAAAGCUGAUGGGAAAUGUGUCGGCUGUAUUUCAAUACGGAGGACGUCUGGCAGCAGCAAAAAGAAAUUCAACUGAUGAUCAACUGCCCAAAGGAUUUGUUGUGAAGAAGAAUUUGUCAUUGAGCUGAUGGAAAAUGUGUCGUCACUCGGCUUCGUUUCAACCAGGAGGAAGAUUAGCAGCAUCAACAGACGUUCAUCUUAAUGUCAACUGUUGAAAGGAUUUGUUUGCAUUCUAAUAUAAGUUUAAAAUACAUUUAAUCUGCUUAUUAUUUGAAGUUUAAUAGGAACGGAAUAUUUAACUGGAUCAUGGACGACUAUCCACCGACGAAGAAUUUGUCAUAGAGCUGAUGGAAAAUGUGUCGGCACUCGGCUGUAUUUCAACACGGAGGACGUCUAGCAGCAGCAAAAAGAAAUUCAACUGACGAUAAUCUACUGUCGAAAUAAAGAAGAAUUUGUCACAAAGCUGAUGGGAAAUGUGUCGUCACUCGGCUUCGUUUCAACCAGGAGGAAUAUUAGCAGCAUCAAUAGACGUUCAUCUUAAUGUCAACUGUUGAAAGGAUUUGUUUGCAUUCUAAUAUAAGUUUAAAAUACAUUUAAUCUGCAUAUUAUUUGAAGUUUAAUAGGAACGGAAUAUUUAACUGGAUCAUGGACGACUAUCCGCCGACGAAGAAUUUGUCAUAGAGCUGAUGGAAAAUGUGUCGGCACUCGGCUGUAUUUCAACACGGAGGACGUCUAGCAGCAGCAAAAAGAAAUUCAACUGACGAUAAUCUACUGUCGAAAUAAAGAAGAAUUUGUCACAAAGCUGAUGGGAAAUGUGUCGUCACUCGGCUUCGUUUCAACCAGGAGGAAUAUUAGCAGCAUCAAUAGACGUUCAUCUUAAUGUCAACUGUUGAAAGGAUUUGUUUGCAUUCUAAUAUAAGUUUAAAAUACAUUUAAUCUGCAUAUUAUUUGAAGUUUAAUAGGAACGGAAUAUUUAACUGGAUCAUGGACGACUAUCCGCCGACGAAGAAUUUGUCAUAGAGCUGAUGGAAAAUGUGUCGGCACUCGGCUGUAUUUCAACACGGAGGACGUCUAGCAGCAGCAAAAAGAAAUUCAACUGACGAUAAUCUACUGUCGAAAGUAUUUGUUGUGAAGAAGAAUUUGUCACAAAGCUGAUGGGAAAUGUGUCGGCACUCGGCUUCGUUUCAACCCGGAGGAAGAUUAGCAGCCUCAAUAAGAAGCACAUCUUAAUAUCAACUGUCCAAAGGAUUUGUUUUGAAGAAGAAUUUGUCACAAAGCUGAUGGGAAAUGUGUCGGCACUCGGCUUCAUUUCAACCCGGAGGAAGAUUGGCAGCAUCAAUAGAAACUCAUCUUAAUGUCAACUGUUGAAAAAACAGAACAUUUAACUGGAUCAUGGACUAUCCACCGACGAAGAAUUUGUCAUUGAGCUGAAGGAAAAUGUGUCGGCACUCGGCUUCGUUUCAGCCCGGAGGAAGAUUUGCAGCAUCAAAAAGAAAUUCAACUGACGAUAAUCUACUGUCGAAACUAUUUUGAAGAAGAAUUUGUCACAAAGCUGAUGGGAAAUGUGUCGGCUGUAUUUCAAUACGGAGGACGUCUGGCAGCAGCAAAAAGAAAUUCAACUGAUGAUCAACUGCCCAAAGGAUUUGUUGUGAAGAAGAAUUUAUCAUUGUGCUGAUGGAAAUUGUGUCGGCACUUCAACACGGAGGACGUCUUGCAGCAUUAGAAUAUAAGUUUAAUUUAGUUUUCCCCUUACGCAUUAGCGCUCAUCUCUCAUCCACUCAUCCAACACAUUGACUAUCGCCGGCCGGCAACACACACAUAUUAUACACAUUACCCGUUUUAUAUUAUAUAGAAUUAUUAAUAUCUACAUAUAGUUUAAGUUAUUGUAUAUUUUUUUUUUAUUAUUUGAAUGCAUUUAUAUGAUCAGUUGCGUAUUUAGAAAUUGUAUGAUAAGGGCAACACAUAUUUUGCUGCCUCCCUCCCAUUAAAAAAAAAAUUAAAAUGCCUCGCAUUGGUCAAACUGUUAAUACCAUAGAAUACCAUGUUAUAUACUUAUAUAAACAUUAUAGUAUUUUACACCUCUA